GACGAACGCUGGCGGCGUGCCUAAUACAUGCAAGUAGAACGCACAGUUUAUACCGUAGCUUGCUACACCAUAGACUGUGAGUUGCGAACGGGUGAGUAACGCGUAGGUAACCUGCCUGGUAGCGGGGGAUAACUAUUGGAAACGAUAGCUAAUACCGCAUAAUAUUGAUUAUUGCAUGAUAAUUAAUUGAAAGGUGCAAUUGCACCACUACCAGAUGGACCUGCGUUGUAUUAGCUAGUAGGUGAGGUAACGGCUCACCUAGGCGACGAUACAUAGCCGACCUGAGAGGGUGAUCGGCCACACUGAGACUGAGACACGGCCCAGACUCCUACGGGAGGCAGCAGUAGGGAAUCUUCGGCAAUGGACGAAAGUCUGACCGAGCAACGCCGCGUGAGUGAAGAAGGUUUUCGGAUCGUAAAGCUCUGUUGUAAGAGAAGAACGGGUGUGAGAGUGGAAAGUUCACACUGUGACGGUAUCUUACCAGAAAGGGACGGCUAACUACGUG
RNAcentral lists this ribosomal RNA (505 nucleotides) under uncultured bacterium. RNAcentral's name for it is "partial 16S ribosomal RNA". It matches the Rfam family "Bacterial small subunit ribosomal RNA", at positions 28 to 507 of the family's 1533-position model. The record is from RNAcentral.